This 1256-nucleotide ribosomal RNA is filed under the name Staphylococcus aureus. RNAcentral describes it as "bacterial SSU rRNA". It matches the Rfam family "Bacterial small subunit ribosomal RNA", at positions 215 to 1461 of the family's 1533-position model. The record is from RNAcentral. Lineage: Bacteria; Bacillati; Bacillota; Bacilli; Caryophanales; Staphylococcaceae.
UCACUUAUAGAUGGAUCCGCGCUGCAUUAGCUAGUUGGUAAGGUAACGGCUUACCAAGGCAACGAUGCAUAGCCGACCUGAGAGGGUGAUCGGCCACACUGGAACUGAGACACGGUCCAGACUCCUACGGGAGGCAGCAGUAGGGAAUCUUCCGCAAUGGGCGAAAGCCUGACGGAGCAACGCCGCGUGAGUGAUGAAGGUCUUCGGAUCGUAAAACUCUGUUAUUAGGGAAGAACAUAUGUGUAAGUAACUGUGCACAUCUUGACGGUACCUAAUCAGAAAGCCACGGCUAACUACGUGCCAGCAGCCGCGGUAAUACGUAGGUGGCAAGCGUUAUCCGGAAUUAUUGGGCGUAAAGCGCGCGUAGGCGGUUUUUUAAGUCUGAUGUGAAAGCCCACGGCUCAACCGUGGAGGGUCAUUGGAAACUGGAAAACUUGAGUGCAGAAGAGGAAAGUGGAAUUCCAUGUGUAGCGGUGAAAUGCGCAGAGAUAUGGAGGAACACCAGUGGCGAAGGCGACUUUCUGGUCUGUAACUGACGCUGAUGUGCGAAAGCGUGGGGAUCAAACAGGAUUAGAUACCCUGGUAGUCCACGCCGUAAACGAUGAGUGCUAAGUGUUAGGGGGUUUCCGCCCCUUAGUGCUGCAGCUAACGCAUUAAGCACUCCGCCUGGGGAGUACGACCGCAAGGUUGAAACUCAAAGGAAUUGACGGGGACCCGCACAAGCGGUGGAGCAUGUGGUUUAAUUCGAAGCAACGCGAAGAACCUUACCAAAUCUUGACAUCCUUUGACAACUCUAGAGAUAGAGCUUUCCCCUUCGGGGGACAAAGUGACAGGUGGUGCAUGGUUGUCGUCAGCUCGUGUCGUGAGAUGUUGGGUUAAGUCCCGCAACGAGCGCAACCCUUAAGCUUAGUUGCCAUCAUUAAGUUGGGCACUCUAAGUUGACUGCCGGUGACAAACCGGAGGAAGGUGGGGAUGACGUCAAAUCAUCAUGCCCCUUAUGAUUUGGGCUACACACGUGCUACAAUGGACAAUACAAAGGGCAGCGAAACCGCGAGGUCAAGCAAAUCCCAUAAAGUUGUUCUCAGUUCGGAUUGUAGUCUGCAACUCGACUACAUGAAGCUGGAAUCGCUAGUAAUCGUAGAUCAGCAUGCUACGGUGAAUACGUUCCCGGGUCUUGUACACACCGCCCGUCACACCACGAGAGUUUGUAACACCCGAAGCCGGUGGAGUAACCUUUUAGGAGCUAGCCGUCGAAG